This 493-nucleotide ribosomal RNA is filed under the name uncultured bacterium. RNAcentral's name for it is "bacterial SSU rRNA". It matches the Rfam family "Bacterial small subunit ribosomal RNA", at positions 791 to 1289 of the family's 1533-position model. The record is from RNAcentral.
UAGUCCACGCCGUAAACGAUGAUCACUCGCUGUUGGCGAUAUACUGUCAGUGGCUGAGCGAAAGCAUUAAGUGAUCCACCUGGGGAGUACGAUCGCAAGGUUGAAACUCAAAGGAAUUGACGGGGGCCCGCACAAGCGGAGGAGCAUGUGGUUUAAUUCGAUGAUACGCGAGGAACCUUACCUAGGCUUAAAUGCAGAACGACGUUUCGUGAAAGCGGAAUUUCUUCGGACGGUCUGCAAGGUGCUGCAUGGUUGUCGUCAGCUCGUGCCGUGAGGUGUCGGGUUAAGUCCCAUAACGAGCGCAACCCCUAUUCUUAGUUGCCAUCAGGUCAUGCUGGGGACUCUAAGGUAACUGCCUACGCAAGUAGUGAGGAAGGUGGGGAUGACGUCAAAUCAGCACGGCCCUUAUGCCUAGGGCUACACACGUGCUACAAUGGCCGGUACAGAGGGCAGCUACCUGGUAACAGGAUGCAAAUCUCGAAAGCCGGUACUC